AUUGAACGCUGGCGGCAUGCUUUACACAUGCAAGUCGAACGGCAGCGCGGGCUUCGGCCUGGCGGCGAGUGGCGAACGGGUGAGUAAUGCAUCGGAACGUGCCCAGCUGUGGGGGAUAGCACGGCGAAAGCAGGAUUAAUACCGCAUACGACCUGAGGGUGAAAGCGGGGGAGCGAAAGGCCUCGCGCUAUUGCAGCGGUGGAUGCGGGGUUAGCUAGUUGGUGGGGUAAAGGGUUACCAAGGCGACGAUCCGUAGCUGGUCUGAGAGGAUGAGCAGCCACACUGGAACUGAGACACGGCCCAGACUCCUACGGGAGGCAGCAGUGGGGAAUUUUGGACAACGGGGGCAACCCUGAUCCAGCCAUACCGCGUGCGUGAAGAAGGCCUUCGGGUUGUAAACCGCUUUUGUUCGGGAAGAAACCCUAUAGGCUAAUACCCCGGGGGGAUGACGGUACCGAAAGAAUAAGCACCGGCUAACUACGUG
Molecule: ribosomal RNA, 484 nt
Filed under: uncultured bacterium
Lineage: Bacteria
Description: partial 16S ribosomal RNA
Rfam family: Bacterial small subunit ribosomal RNA
Source: RNAcentral